AGGAUGAACGCUGGCGGCGUGCUUAACACAUGCAAGUCGAACGAUGAUGACCGUGCUUGCACGGUCUGAUUAGUGGCGAACGGGUGAGUAACACGUGAGUAACCUGCCCCUCACUUCGGGAUAACCUCGAGAAAUUGAGGCUAAUACCGGAUAUGAACUUCUACCGCAUGGUGGUUGUUGGAAAGUUUUUCGGUGAGGGAUGGACUCGCGGCCUAUCAGUUUGUUGGUGAGGUAAUGGCUCACCAAGGCGAUGACGGGUAGCCGGCCUGAGAGGGCGACCGGCCACACUGGGACUGAGACACGGCCCAGACUCCUACGGGAGGCAGCAGUGGGGAAUAUUGCACAAUGGGCGAAAGCCUGAUGCAGCGACGCCGCGUGGGGGAUGACGGCCUUCGGGUUGUAAACCUCUUUCAGUAGGGAAGAAGCGAAAGUGACGGUACCUGCAGAAGAAGCGCCGGCUAACUACGUGCCAGC
Molecule: ribosomal RNA, 474 nt
Filed under: Brachybacterium sp. o16
Lineage: Bacteria; Bacillati; Actinomycetota; Actinomycetes; Micrococcales; Dermabacteraceae
Description: bacterial SSU rRNA
Rfam family: Bacterial small subunit ribosomal RNA
Source: RNAcentral